Transfer RNA from Cavia porcellus (domestic guinea pig), 73 nucleotides. It matches the Rfam family "tRNA". From Rfam's summary of the family: Transfer RNA (tRNA) molecules are approximately 80 nucleotides in length. Their secondary structure includes four short double-helical elements and three loops (D, anti-codon, and T loops). Lineage: Eukaryota; Metazoa; Chordata; Mammalia; Rodentia; Caviidae. The record is from Rfam.
GGAGGUUUAGCUCAGUGGCAUAAGCAUCUGCCUUGUAAGCAGGCAGUCGUGAGUUCAAUCCUCCUUACCAAUA